RNAcentral lists this ribosomal RNA (450 nucleotides) under uncultured bacterium. Its description in RNAcentral is "partial 16S ribosomal RNA". It matches the Rfam family "Bacterial small subunit ribosomal RNA", at positions 354 to 796 of the family's 1533-position model. The record is from RNAcentral.
GUAGGGAAUCUUCCACAAUGGACGAAAGUCUGAUGGAGCAACGCCGCGUGAGUGAAGAAGGUCUUCGGAUCGUAAAACUCUGUUGUUAGAGAAGAACGUGCAUGAUAGUAACCGAUCAUGUAAUGACGGUAUCUAACCAGAAAGCCACGGCUAACUACGUGCCAGCAGCCGCGGUAAUACGUAGGUGGCAAGCGUUGUCCGGAUUUAUUGGGCGUAAAGGGAACGCAGGCGGUUGUUUAAGUCUGAUGUGAAAGCCUUCGGCUUAACCGAAGAAUAGCAGUGGAAACUGGAAGACUUGAGUGCAGAAGAGGAGAGUGGAAUUCCAUGUGUAGCGGUGAAAUGCGUAGAUAUAUGGAGGAACACCAGUGGCGAAAGCGGCCACCUGGACAGGUACUGACGCUGAGGCGCGAAAGCGUGGGGAGCAAACAUGAUUAGAAACCCUAGUAGUCC